Molecule: ribosomal RNA, 253 nt
Filed under: uncultured bacterium
Lineage: Bacteria
Description: partial 16S ribosomal RNA
Rfam family: Bacterial small subunit ribosomal RNA
Source: RNAcentral
GACAGAGGGUGCAAACGUUGCUCGGAAUCAUUGGGCGUAAAGCGCACGUAGGCGGGUUUUUAAGUCAGGGGUGAAAUCCUGGAGCUCAACUUCAGAACUGCCUUUGAUACUGAAGAUCUCGAGUCCGGAAGAGGUGAGUGGAACUCCGAGUGUAGAGGUGAAAUUCGUAGAUAUUCGGAAGAACACCAGUGGCGAAGGCGGCUCACUGGUCCGGUACUGACGCUGAGGUGCGAAAGCGUGGGGAGCAAGCAGG